CGGGUGCACGAGGACGCUGUUCUGCGUCGGCUUCCGGGAGCACGCUGUUGUUCCUCCGCGACGGGCUGGGCCACCGGUUCCGCGGCCGCCACCGGUUCCGUGAGUGCGCCAGAUUCGUCUGUCAGCAUGGGGAUCCUGGAGAAGAUCUCCGAGAUUGAAAAGGAGAUCGCUCGGACGCAGAAAAACAAGGCCACUGAGUAUCACCUGGGCUUGCUGAAAGCAAAACUCGCCAAGUACCGGGCCCAGCUCCUGGAACCGUCCAAAUCAGCCUCAUCCAAAGGAGAAGGUUUCGAUGUCAUGAAGUCGGGCGAUGCCCGUGUAGCACUGAUUGGAUUUCCCUCUGUGGGUAAGUCCACCUUCCUGAGUCUGAUGACCUCCACAGCCAGUGAAGCUGCGUCCUAUGAAUUCACGACCCUGACGUGUAUUCCUGGGGUCAUCGAGUACAAAGGUGCCAACAUCCAGCUCCUGGACCUUCCUGGAAUUAUUGAAGGCGCAGCACAAGGGAAAGGCCGUGGCCGGCAGGUGAUUGCUGUGGCGCGCACAGCUGACGUCGUUGUCAUGAUGCUGGAUGCCACCAGGGGGGACGUUCAAAGGUCUCUGCUGGAGAAGGAGCUGGAGUCGGUGGGCAUCCGCCUCAACAAGCACAAGCCCAACAUCUAUUUCAAGCCCAAGAAAGGAGGUGGCAUCUCCUUUAACUCCACAGUCACGCUAACCCAGUGCUCAGAAAAGCUGGUGCAGCUGAUCCUGCACGAGUACAAGAUCUUCAAUGCAGAAGUGCUCUUCCGAGAAGACUGCUCCCCAGAUGAGUUCAUCGAUGUGAUCGUUGGCAACCGGGUGUACAUGCCCUGCUUGUAUGUUUAUAACAAAAUUGACCAGAUCUCAAUGGAAGAAGUGGACCGCCUGGCCCGGAAACCCAACAGUGUGGUCAUCAGCUGCGGCAUGAAGCUGAACCUGGACUCCUUGCUUGAGAUGCUUUGGGAGUAUUUGGCCCUGACCUGCAUCUACACCAAGAAGAGAGGACAGAGACCAGACUUCACAGAUGCCAUCAUCCUCCGGAAAGGGGCCUCCGUGGAGCAUGUGAUGCUGCCCUCAUAGAAGAUCUACUGUCCCAGGUGCCAUGAAUAUAUAUAAAGGCCUGCCCGGAUGCUGACGGCAGGGACCCAGAGUAGAUGAACCAGCUGUCUCCAGAGUGUGAGCACCAGCCCGGUGCUCCCCGUGCCCUCAGGACCCCGGGAGAAUCCUUGUGAUCGGGACUCUGCUUAGUAAACUUUCCCAGUAGGCUUCAUCUUGUUGGACAAGCUGAAAAAAGGGGCAUCUGUCAGGGCUAUGGUUCAGGCGGGGUGGGCAGAGGGCCACUGCCAGCCGGGUCCCAGACCUUCCUCUGAUGGCUGCGAGAAUGUUCCUAACCUGGCAGCACAGCCUGCAGCCAUGCCUAGAACUGCGUGUGGGUGGAGAUGUGUCCUUGACACAGGUCAGUGCUGUUUGAGCACCUGCCUGGGAAUUGCUACUACAUGUGCCCAGGUCCUGGGUGUGUGGCUGAGCUCAGUAGGGCUGGGCAGAGCCUCAUCCCGUUGUCUGACUCUUCUCCUCCAGUGCCACCGCAUCCACCGGUCGCUUGCCAGCCAGUUCAAGUACGCCCUGGUGUGGGGCACCAGCACCAAGUACAGCCCGCAGCGGGUGGGCCUGACCCACACCAUGGAGCAUGAGGAUGUCAUCCAGAUCGUCAAGAAGUAGUGGCGCCUGCUGGGCCUGCCCACCUGCCUGUCUCCCUGGGAGGUGAACCCAGUGGGACACCCCAAAGCCCAAACAGGAAAAAUACAAAUAUAUACACCCCAGGGAGGGGUCUCUCAAGUUUGCUGUUUGCAGAAGUUUCUUCAGUAGGCUGAUGGUGGAGAGCGUUGGGGCUGAGGAGUGAGGCUGGGGUCCUCUGCCAUGACACUGGCCCCCCAGAAGGGGGCUCUGAGUUUGGAACCCUGGGCCUGGGCCCUACCCCAUCCCCUUCAGGCCCUGAGUGAGCAGGUUGCCCACCUUCCACCCAGCUAGGGCCUAAGCAGGUUACUUGCUCUGUGCUGGGGCAGGGAGCCCGGCCUGCCUGGGUGUCUGAAGGUGGUAAUUAACUGUUGGGGCCCCUUGGCCUCUCAGCUGUCAGCUUCUCUGGCACUCAGGGAGGGGCCUCUCAGGAAAAAAAUACCUUCACACCCACACCCACAGGACCACCCCAUGGUAGAAACCAGGGUUCAGUGGCUAUAAAGGCCCAGCUAACACCUUCCAUAGUCCGAGAGGGGUCCUGUAGUGCCACCCUCGCCCAGGGCAGACCCUGUCCAGCACGAAACUCCAGGACCCAGGACCCUCACUGACACCUGGGGUGGGCACUUUGGAGUUCGGUUCUGUUUUCCAAGCGUCUGAUCUCUCGGCUCUCUGUUCUGAAAUAAAGGAUGGAAACAAUAUCUGUUCA
RNA transcript from Manis javanica (Malayan pangolin), 2455 nucleotides. It is a transcript of the gene named developmentally regulated GTP binding protein 2, with no coding region annotated. The record is from RefSeq and is a predicted model, not a curated record. NCBI's taxonomy places the organism in Eukaryota, Metazoa, Chordata, Mammalia, Pholidota, Manidae.